This 1256-nucleotide ribosomal RNA is filed under the name Endoreticulatus sp. CHW-2008 Austria. RNAcentral's name for it is "Microsporidia small subunit ribosomal RNA". It matches the Rfam family "Microsporidia small subunit ribosomal RNA". Lineage: Eukaryota; Fungi; Microsporidia. The record is from Rfam by way of RNAcentral.
CACCAGGUUGAUUCUGCCUGACGUCCCCGCUAGUCUCUGAGAUUAAGCCAUGCAUGUCUAUGGAACAAGGACGAACAGCUCAGUAAAACUGCGAUGAUUCAGUCUGUCUGUCAAGAUAACCACGCGAAAGUGUGGCUAAGAGGGGACAGAACAAGACGCAGGACUAUCAGUUAGUUGGUAGUGUAAUGGACUACCAAGACGGUGACGGUUGACGGGGAAUGAGGGUUCUAUACCGGAGAGGGAGCCUGAGAGAUAGCUCCCACGUCCAAGGACGGCAGCAGGCGCGAAAAUUGCCCACUGUUUGGAGGAGGCAGUUAUGAGACGUGAGAAAGAGUGCUUGGUAAAGAGAAGCAGGAGAAUUGGAGGGCAAGUUUGGUGCCAGCAGCCGCGGUAAUACCGACUCCAAGAGUGUGUAUGAGAGAUGCUGCAGUUAAAAAGUCCGUAGUCGUGGAGACGGAAAGAGAGGCGGAGCCUCUUUGAGAUGCUCUGGAGAAGCCAACAGGGGGCACAGUACACCAGGGCGAGAGAUGAAAUGCCAAGACCCCUGGUGGACUGAGCGAGGCGAAAGCGGUGCUCUUGUGGGGUGUUCGGUGAUCAAGGACGAAAGCUUGGAGGGAUCGAAAGUGAUUGAUACCGCUGUAGUUCCAGCAGUAAAAGAUGCCGACAUGCUCUGUGGCAACACGGGGCAGGGAGAAAUCUUAGAGUUCGGGCUCUGGGGAUAGUAUGCUCGCAAGGGUGAAAAUUAAAGAAAUUGACGGAGCUACACCACAAGGAGUGGAUUGUGCGGCUUAAUUUGACUCAACGCGAGGAAGCUUACCAGGGCCAAGUGCUGUGGAGAAAGGAGCAGGACAGAAGUGGUGCAUGGUCGUUGGAAAUUGAUGGGAUGACUUUGGCCUUAAAUGGCUGAAUGAGUGAGAUCUUUGGACAUGUUCCCACAGGAACAGGAAGGGGAGGCUAUAACAGAUCAGAGAUGCCCUUAGAUGCCCUGGGCUGCACGCGCAAUACAAUAGCACGUAGACGUAGAGAACAACACGUGCUGAGGUGGACUGUGCUCUGCAAGGGGCACACGAAAGAGGAAUUCCUAGUAAGCGCCCAUCACCAGUGGGCGUUGAGUCAGUCCCUGUAGCUUGUACACACCGUCCGUCACUAUCUCAGAUGUUUUUCGGGAUGAAGAGUCCAGGCUCUGAAUAACGGAAAGUAGAUAAGAUGUAAGUCGUAGCAAGGUUGCGGUCGAUGAACCAUUAGCAGGAUCAUAA